Colius striatus (speckled mousebird) is the source of this 106-nucleotide non-coding RNA. Lineage: Eukaryota; Metazoa; Chordata; Aves; Coliiformes; Coliidae. The record is from Rfam.
GUGCUUGCUUCAGCAACACGUAUACUAAAAUUGGAAGGAUACAGAGAAGAUUAGCAUGGCCCUGCACAAACGUGACACACAAAUUUGUGAAGAGUUCCAUAUUUUU